UACAGAGGUGCCGAGCGUUAGGCGGAAUCACUGGGCUUAAAGCGUGUGUAGGCGGACUUCUAAGUACCUUGUGAAAUCCCACGGCUCACCCGUGGAACUGCUGGGUAUACUGGUCGUCUUGAGCCACCUAGGGGCCAGCGGAACAAAUGGUGGAGCGGUGAAAUGCGUAGAUAUCACUUGGAACGCCAACGGUGAAAACAGCUGGCUGGGGGUGCACUGACACUGAGACACGAAAGCCAGGGGAGCGAACGGG
This 253-nucleotide ribosomal RNA is filed under the name uncultured bacterium. RNAcentral describes it as "partial 16S ribosomal RNA". It matches the Rfam family "Bacterial small subunit ribosomal RNA", at positions 524 to 776 of the family's 1533-position model. The record is from RNAcentral.